UUGUCGCCUUCUGCUGCGUCCUAGUGUGUUCUGUUUUCUAUAGGUUCUGCGUUCGGUGUGCACCUGUACAAUCAGUCAGGUUACAGCCCGAUCCUCAACUACGUUGUGAUUAUUCCGUCCCACAUGGAACCUGGCCAAACUGUGAGCGUCCCCUGGGCAUCUGUGUGCUAAUUAGCCACAGAGAGCGGGGCGACUCCAGGGCAGGCGGGGAUUGUUCCUGGAGGUCUAUUUGGAGGAGGUGCGUCUUAGGCUCGGAUGAAGCAGAGAGCUAGGAGAGCGUCAGCGGACAGGUCUCACAUAUUUAUCACUGACCAGCUUGUUAGUGAAGAGCAUGUAAACAAAGAGAAAACUCAUUUUCCCAAUGAAACGUGGUCAACUGUCCACCUGAUGACAUUUUUCAGCUUGAUAUGAUGCACUUGGACAACCUGCGUGCCAACCAGGAUGCAGACCAGGUCUUAAAAACCUGACCCCUAAAGCACUCAGGGUUACUCUCAGAAACCCCAUUGGAACACUGAGGCAGUCACCGGCUGGCUCUUCAAUAACGGAUUCGUCUGUUAAUUCGGCUAGCGUGAUGGCGUGGUCUUUGGGAAUUUCUGGACACACCACCACCCAAAAGAAGGUGGGAACAGCAGGUUGCUCUCUGGAGGACACAGCAACAAGAUGCUAUCUUGAAACAAAUGACUGAACCUGCUGGCAUCUUGAUCUUGAACUUUUCAGCUUCUAGAACUUUAAGAAAUAAAUUUCUGGUCUAAACUGGUGUAAAUUA
This is a long non-coding RNA of Otolemur garnettii (small-eared galago), 766 nucleotides long. RefSeq lists it as uncharacterized. NCBI's taxonomy places the organism in Eukaryota, Metazoa, Chordata, Mammalia, Primates, Galagidae. The transcript is spliced from 4 exons. The record is from RefSeq and is a predicted model, not a curated record.